GAAUAUAUUUGCCGGAGGUAAAGCACUGAAUAGACGAGGGGUCGAGAGACUACCAACUCUUAUCAAACUAAGAAUGCCGGACAAAUGAGUUCAGGAGUCAGACUGUGUGAGAUAAGUCUCACGGUCGAAAGGGAAAAAGCCCAGACCCACAGCUAAGGUCCCAAAUGAACGCUAAGUGGAGAAGGAUGUGACAAUGCUAAGACAACCAGGACGUUGGCUUAGAAGCAGCCACUCAUUCAAAGAGUGCGUAAUAGCUCACUGGUCGAGUGAUGUUGCGCCGAAAAUUUAACGGGGCUAAGCGUCCAACCGAAGCUUGGGAUGUACAAUGUACGUGGUAGGGGAGCGUUGUGUAAAGGGUGAAGCGAUACCGGAAGGAGUCGUGGACAUUACACAAGUGAGAAUGCCGGAAUGAGUAGCGAGAAUUGCGUGAGAAUCGUAAUGGCCGAAAAUCUAAGGUUUCCGGGGGUAGGUUCGUCCUCCCCGGGUUAGCCGGGAGCUAAGGCGAGGCCGGAAGGCGUAGUCGAUGCACAAACGGUAGAGAUUCCGUUGCCGUACGAACUUAAGUAUACUGACACGAGCGCAGACUCCAUCCCGGGCGAUGGUCGCCCCGGGCGAAAGGGACUGAAAUUAUAGUAAGGAAGUGGAGAAAGCGAGCGGCGAGAAAAGGUAUAUGUAUGUAAUCGUGCGCCCGUACCGCAAACCGACACAGGUAGAUGAGGAGAGAAUCCUAAGGCCAUCGGGAGAAGGGUUGUUAAGGAACUCGGCAUAUUGACCCCGUAACUUCGGAAGAAGGGGUGCCUGCAGCAAUGCAGCCGCAGUGAAAAGGCCCAGGCGACUGUUUAACAAAAACACAGGUCUCUGCAAAAGCGAAAGCUGAAGUAUAGGGGCUGACGCCUGCCCGGUGCCGGAAGGUCAAGGGGAAUGCUUAGAGCAAUCGAAGGCAUGAACUUAAGCCCCGGUCAACGGCGGCCGUAACUAUAACGGUCCUAAGGUAGCGAAAUUCCUUGUCAGGUAAGUUCUGACCCGCACGAAUGGCGUAACGAUCUGGGCACUGUCUCAACAGCCCGCCCGGCGAAAUUGUAGUACCGGUGAAGAUGCCGGUUACCCGCGACUAGACGGAAAGACCCCAUGGAGCUUUACUGUAGUUUGAUACUGAAAUUCGAUUCAUUAUGUACAGGAUAGGUGGGAGACUGAGAAACAGGGUCGUCAGGUUCUGCGGAGUCAACCUUGGGAUACCACUCUUGAUGAAUCGGGUUUCUAACCUGCUCCCUUGAAUCAGGGAGGGGGACAAUGUCAGAUGGGCAGUUUGACUGGGGCGGUCGCCUCCAAAAGAGUAACGGAGGCGUACAAAGGUCGGCUCAGCGCGGUUGGAAAUCGCGCAAUGAGUAUAAACGUAUAAGCCGGCCUAACUGCAAGACCUACAAGUCGAGCAGUAACGAAAGUUGGUGUUAGUGA
Molecule: ribosomal RNA, 1455 nt
Filed under: human gut metagenome
Description: bacterial LSU rRNA
Rfam family: Bacterial large subunit ribosomal RNA
Source: RNAcentral